RNAcentral lists this ribosomal RNA (730 nucleotides) under uncultured bacterium. Its description in RNAcentral is "bacterial SSU rRNA". It matches the Rfam family "Bacterial small subunit ribosomal RNA", at positions 771 to 1501 of the family's 1533-position model. The record is from RNAcentral.
AACAGGAUUAGAUACCCUGGUAGUCCACGCCGUAAACGAUGUCGACUUGGAGGUUGUUCCCUUGAGGAGUGGCUUCCGGAGCUAACGCGUUAAGUCGACCGCCUGGGGAGUACGGUCGCAAGACCGAAACUCAAAUGAAUUGACGGGGGCCCGCACAAGCGGUGGAGCAUGUGGUUUAAUUCGAUGCAACGCGAAGAACCUUACCUACUCUUGACAUCCACGGAAUUCGGCAGAGAUGCCUUAGUGCCUUCGGGAACCGUGAGACAGGUGCUGCAUGGCUGUCGUCAGCUCGUGUUGUGAAAUGUUGGGUUAAGUCCCGCAACGAGCGCAACCCUUAUCCUUUGUUGCCAGCGAUUCGGUCGGGAACUCAAAGGAGACUGCCGGUGAUAAACCGGAGGAAGGUGGGGAUGACGUCAAGUCAUCAUGGCCCUUACGAGUAGGGCUACACACGUGCUACAAUGGCGCAUACAAAGAGAAGCGACCUCGCGAGAGCAAGCGGACCUCAUAAAGUGCGUCGUAGUCCGGAUCGGAGUCUGCAACUCGACUCCGUGAAGUCGGAAUCGCUAGUAAUCGUGGAUCAGAAUGCCACGGUGAAUACGUUCCCGGGCCUUGUACACACCGCCCGUCACACCAUGGGAGUGGGUUGCAAAAGAAGUAGGUAGCUUAACCUUCGGGAGGGCGCUUACCACUUUGUGAUUCAUGACUGGGGUGAAGUCGUAACAAGGUAACC